Small nuclear RNA from Protobothrops mucrosquamatus (brown spotted pit viper), 111 nucleotides. RefSeq annotates it as U5 spliceosomal RNA. The record is from RefSeq and is a predicted model, not a curated record. Lineage: Eukaryota; Metazoa; Chordata; Lepidosauria; Squamata; Viperidae. The transcript has a single exon.
UUACUCUGAUUUCUCUCCAGACUGUAUAAAUCUUUCACCUUUUACUAAAGAUUUCUGUGGAUAGGAACAUUUAUGAUCUUGUACUAGAUUUUUGAGGUUGUGGUCCCCACC